GAGAGACGAGACUGCAAUUCUGCAAGGCUUGCAAGUUUAGCCUGCCAUUUGGUCGGCUAAUGCGACACACCGCGUGGCGGAUCAUUACCAUAUAUCCAUAAUAGUCAUAUGCAAAUGUUGUUUUUCGCGUCGUUACAUCGCGCCGUGGCAUAGCCCCCAUACGGCACCAAGGUGUACAGCAAGAAGAUUUGUCUCUUUGAAAUAGGGGGGUCCUUGUGAAGCAGCUGCCCGCGUUUCCAAUGCACAUAUGGUGUUGGAUUGUAAGGUGCCCAAGUACGUUUGCGAGGAAGAGAAUGUGGCCAGGUUGGAGAGGAAAGUGCAGUGGCAUAUUGGAAUGUGGGAUUAGCGUAAGCGAGUUACAGGGCGUUUUAUUGCACGGGCGAGUUUACGUGCAAAUCUUUCACCGUAGCAUCAGUCCUCAGUUCACUUCUUGGAACGAACAUCAGCAUAGGUGCAAGCCCUCUCGCUUGGGGGGAUAUGCAAACAAACAUCCUGAUAGGGGUAAACUCGCACGCUACCGAGCAUUCAACCGAGCACAUGCAUGCUUAGUUGAAUGGUGAGAUGCGACCCCCCCUUCAUUUCGUGCUCGGCAAGCCUGCCACCGCGUACCGGAUAUGUUGGCGAUGUUACAGAACGCUGCACCUUGGUUUCUGUGCGCAUUGCGUACGUUGCUCGACCCCGC
RNAcentral lists this long non-coding RNA (682 nucleotides) under Volvox carteri. Its description in RNAcentral is "long non-coding RNA (VCAR_LNC000223)". The record is from RNAcentral. Lineage: Eukaryota; Viridiplantae; Chlorophyta; Chlorophyceae; Chlamydomonadales; Volvocaceae.